Molecule: ribosomal RNA, 468 nt
Filed under: uncultured bacterium
Lineage: Bacteria
Description: partial 16S ribosomal RNA
Rfam family: Bacterial small subunit ribosomal RNA
Source: RNAcentral
GACGAACGCUGGCGGCGUGCUUAACACAUGCAAGUCGAACGGAAAGGCCCUGCUUUUGUGGGGUGCUCGUGUGGCGAACGGGUGAGUAACACGUGAGUAACCUGCCCUUUGCUUUGGGAUAACUUCAGGAAACUGGGGCUAAUACCGGAUAGGAGCUCCUGCUGCAUGGUGUGGGUUGGAAAGUUUCGGCGGUUGGUGAUGGACUGGCGGCUUAUCAGCUUGUUGGUGGGGUAGUGGCUUACCAAGGCUUUGACGGGUAGCCGGCCUGAGAGGGUGACCGGCGACAUUGGGACUGAGAUACGGACCAGAAUCCCACGGGAGGCAGCAGUGGGGAAUAUUGCACAAUGGGCGGAAGCCAGAUGCAGCAACGCCGCGUGCGGAAUGACGGGCUUCGGGUUGUAAACCGCUUUCGACUGUGACGAAGCGGGAGUGACGGUACUGGGUAAAGAAGCACCGGCUAACUACGUG